RNAcentral lists this ribosomal RNA (887 nucleotides) under uncultured Planctomycetota bacterium. Its description in RNAcentral is "bacterial SSU rRNA". It matches the Rfam family "Bacterial small subunit ribosomal RNA", at positions 38 to 908 of the family's 1533-position model. The record is from RNAcentral. Lineage: Bacteria; Pseudomonadati; Planctomycetota.
UUCGAUUGGAUUAGGCAUGCAAGUCGAACGCGAAAGUACCCUUCGGGGUGUGAGUAGAGUGGCGUAAGGGUGAGUAAUGCAUAGGCAACGUACCUUCGGGAUCAGGAUAGCUGCUGGAAACGGCAGGUAAUACUGAAUGGUCAGGUCGAGGGGCAUCCCUCGACCUGUAUACGGUAGGGCAACCUUCUGCCCGGAGAGCGGCCUAUGUCCUAUUAGCUUGUUGGUGAGGUAACGGCUCACCAAGGCUGCGAUGGGUAGCCGGACUGAGAGGUUGGCCGGUCACACUGGGACUGAGACACUGCCCAGACUCCUACGGGAGGCUGCAGUCGAGAAUCUUCCGCAAUGGACGCAAGUCUGACGGGGCGACGCCGCGUGGGGGAUGAAGGCUCUCGGGUUGUAAACCCCUGUUGCACGCCAGGAACACCUGUGGGUUAAUAGCCUUGCAGGUUGACCAUCGUGUGAGGAAGCACAGGCUAACUCCGUGCCAGCAGCCGCGGUAAUACGGAGUGUGCAAGCGUUACUCGGAAUCACUGGGCAUAAAGCGCACGUAGGCGGGUUGCUUAGUCGGUGGUGAAAGCCCUCAGCUCAACUGAGGAACUGCUGCCGAAACUGGCAACCUUGAGGACAAGAGGGGAGAGUGGAACUUCUGGUGGAGCGGUGAAAUGCGUAGAUAUCAGAAGGAACACCGGUGGCGAAAGCGACUCUCUGGCUUGUCCCUGACGCUGAGGUGCGAAAGCGUGGGUAGCAAACAGGAUUAGAUACCCUGGUAGUCCACGCCGUAAACGAUGGGCACUAAGCAGGGGAGGUUCCGAUGCCUUCCUUGCUGGAGCUAAUGUAUUAAGUGCCCCGCCUGGGGAGUACAGUCGCAAGGGCCGAAACUCAAAGGA